UACAGAGGUCCCGAGCGUUGUUCGGAUUUAUUGGGCGUAAAGGGUGCGUAGGCGGCGGAGUAAGUUGGGUGUGAAAUCCCGGGGCUUAACCUCGGAAUUGCAUUCAAUACUGCUUCGCUCGAGUACUGGAGAGGAGGCUGGAAUUUACGGUGUAGCAGUGAAAUGCGUAGAUAUCGUAAGGAAGGCCGGUGGCGAAAGCGAGCCUCUGGACAGUUACUGACGCUGAUGCACGAAGGCCAGGGGAGCAAAUGGG
RNAcentral lists this ribosomal RNA (253 nucleotides) under uncultured bacterium. Its description in RNAcentral is "partial 16S ribosomal RNA". It matches the Rfam family "Bacterial small subunit ribosomal RNA", at positions 524 to 776 of the family's 1533-position model. The record is from RNAcentral.